Podarcis lilfordi (Lilford's wall lizard) is the source of this 68-nucleotide non-coding RNA. The record is from the annotation of a GenBank genome assembly. Lineage: Eukaryota; Metazoa; Chordata; Lepidosauria; Squamata; Lacertidae.
UGUAUGUGUGUGUGUGUGUGUGUGUGUGUGUGUGUACACACACACACACACACAUAUAUAUAUAUAUA